CCUACGGGAGGCAGCAGUGAGGAAUAUUGGUCAAUGGACGAGAGUCUGAACCAGCCAAGUAGCGUGAAGGAUGACUGCCCUAUGGGUUGUAAACUUCUUUUAUAUGGGAAUAAAACGUUCCACGUGUGGGAUUUUGUAUGUACCAUAUGAAUAAGGAUCGGCUAACUCCGUGCCAGCAGCCGCGGUAAUACGGAGGAUCCGAGCGUUAUCCGGAUUUAUUGGGUUUAAAGGGAGCGUAGGUGGAUUGUUAAGUCAGUUGUGAAAGUUUGCGGCUCAACCGUAAAAUUGCAGUUGAAACUGGCAGUCUUGAGUACAGUAGAGGCGGGCGGAAUGCGUGGUGUAGCGGUGAAAUGCUUAGAUAUCACGAAGAACUCCGAUUGCGAAGGCAGUUCACUGGACUGCAACUGACACUGAGGCUCGAAAGUGUGGGUAUCAAACAGGAUUAGAUACCCUUGUAGUC
Molecule: ribosomal RNA, 460 nt
Filed under: uncultured bacterium
Lineage: Bacteria
Description: partial 16S ribosomal RNA
Rfam family: Bacterial small subunit ribosomal RNA
Source: RNAcentral